AACAGAGCAGAUCUGGUCAUGAUGGCUAGAACUUCCCUUCAAUGCCCUUGCUGAACAGCUCUUGUGCCCAAGACAGGUGAAAGGCUUUUUCUCAUGGUCCGGAGAAUCGAAUGGAUGUGCAGGUGGUGCUGCCGUCGCUGAUGUGCGGACUGAUUUCGUGCCACGGAGUCAGACAAACGAUUCUGCUGCGCGCCUGCCCCGUACCGAUCAUGAAGCAGUCGUGCCGAGGAUCGGAGCCCCUACUCUGCCGGCGGAGGGAUGAAGGGAAGAUGAAUGGAUCACCCUUAACUCCAAGGUAACAUCGCAGAGGGAAUGACCAUGAAGCCCGACAAUCUCCUCGGGAUCCUGCUUGUAUCUAGUAUCCUCUCCUCAAGGACCAUCCAAGGGCUCCACACUUCUUUCUGUGACUCAAGGGACCACUGCAACUCUGGGGAAGAUACGGCCAUUAUCCUGACUUGAUGGAGGAACACCCAGUGUUUGGGAGAUGAAGUCACUGGCCCGAGGCCACCCAGGUGUUUGAACCCACAUCUGCCCACCUCACAGCCCACACUUUUACCCCUGCUGUUGCUGAAGCUCAGGAGAAGUCCGUGGAAGAUUCAUUGAGAACUAGUCUCAUCGCACCCUGCACUUGUCCUGAAGACAAUUCUCAUAAUUGGGAGCGCCCGGGUGGCUCAGUCAAUUAAGCGCCAGACUUCGACUCAGGUCACAAACUCGUGGUUUGUGAGUUCAAGCCCCGUGUUUGUGCUGACAGCU
Long non-coding RNA from Herpailurus yagouaroundi (jaguarundi), 753 nucleotides. RefSeq lists it as uncharacterized. The record is from RefSeq and is a predicted model, not a curated record. NCBI's taxonomy places the organism in Eukaryota, Metazoa, Chordata, Mammalia, Carnivora, Felidae. The transcript is spliced from 5 exons.